Molecule: long non-coding RNA, 963 nt
Organism: Dreissena polymorpha
Lineage: Eukaryota; Metazoa; Mollusca; Bivalvia; Myida; Dreissenidae
Exons: 4
Source: RefSeq, a predicted model, not a curated record
ACGAUUUUACUACAUUUUCACUGUCAUCAGUGAUUUCAUGUGGCUUGCUUUUCGAGCACAUGUUUCUAACAUUCAUAAUUGAACAAUCUAUCGACCACAGUGUCGCGUUCAUUUAUUUUCCUACCUACUAGUAUAUCGCGGCUUUGAUGUCUAUACAGUAGUGGUGUUUUAUUGUUCCUGUGUCCUGAAUAGUGCUGAACUCAAAAUUCUGUGUUAUAGGCAAUCAAGGAUUACCCGUUUGAAGAUCGCACGGAAUCCAUUUGCAAAGGGUUUUCGAGAAGCAGGAAAAUGCAGAAGUUCUCUGGAAGCCAUGAUGGCCAGCUUUCGGGAUGUGCUUGACGACAGAAAGAACAAAACACCUCCGCUCAAGAGGAAACUGUCCGAGAUGGACGAGGAAUGCACAGAUGCAAAGUCAACAGACAAUCACGUUUCAAUAUCUGCCAGGCAAUCGUCCUUCUCGACAAACAACUUGGCAUGGCUAAAUAUAUCCGGGAGCUGCUACUCAGAGUCACCAUCUGUACCAGCAUUCUACCCGUCGUUUCGCGGACCCGUUUCAACGCAGGGCUUGCAAACCAACACCAUAUCUGCCAGCCCUCAUUCAACUUUAUCAACAGGUUUCGACUAUACGAAAUAGGGAAUGCGUCCAGUUUUCAUCUCAAACCAAAUAUUCCCUCCUCGCGAAUACAGAAAGUGCAUCCAGCAUUCAGACUGUCUUCGUUCGCCCAUAUUGAUCCACUCAUUCUGGACGCUUAUUACACAAGUUUACUAUCAUACCCAUCUAUGCAAAAUAUUUUGAUGUGUCCUCAAUCAAUGAAACCAGUCAAUCACAUCGACACGAAACACGAUGAGUUCGGACACAAUGUGUCAAACGCCUUUGAUUCAAUUCACGAUGACGGAGAGAUUGUUUUGAACUUAUGUACAACGUAACGUUUUCGUCUAUUACAAAUACUUUUAUAAAUAUUU